Long non-coding RNA from Meleagris gallopavo (turkey), 244 nucleotides. RefSeq lists it as uncharacterized. The record is from RefSeq and is a predicted model, not a curated record. Lineage: Eukaryota; Metazoa; Chordata; Aves; Galliformes; Phasianidae.
GUUCCACUCCAUUUUCUUCCUGUGUGACAGAUGGCAGCAGAGGGGUAGUCUGAUAAAAUGGCGUCUGACAAGGAAGUGUGUGUGAGGACACGUGAAUAAAUCUACCUAGAGAGAAAACUGAACAUCCAGACUGGUCUUCCGUAACAGCUGCCAAAGGUCACCAGAUACUUUUCAAACUAAGAAGCAGUUCUAAACUAACUUCUUCAAGAGCAUACAAGACUUUGCUUUGGUUUCAGAGAAAAGG